GAGAGAGAGAGAGAGAGACGUAAUUUGUCAUGAAAAUGUGGUGUUGAAAAUAUUUUCUAUGAGUUGAAUAAAUAAACCUUAGUUGUAGCAUGCUAACUGAUAAAGGUGAUGGAAGUAGUUGAAUAGGUCACUGAAAAACCUAAAAUAACAUAAAAUGGUAGCUGGAAAAGAUACUAUAUAUGUGCAUGUGUGUAUUUAUUUUACCUGCUAGUUCACUGAGUAUCAUGUUCACUAAAUUUUUCUUUAUGGGCCUAAGAUCCAAAAUUUUUGCAGAUACUGAAUUUUGGUUAAAAAAAAAAAAAAGUACUUACCCAGAAUAAACAAAGUCUUGCUUCAGAAUCUCACUGUAUAGAUUGUAAGGAUAUAGGUAUUUAAGAAUUUGCUUACAGAAUCACAAAAUUGUGAAUAAUCAGUUGAAUCUGGGCAGAUAUUUCUUUUGAAGCCAAGCCCCAUUGAUGCAGGAAAUAUUUGGAACUGAUAUCUUUCAGAGUUUAAGGGUGUCUGCUGACUGAAGAGUAUUACUAUUAUAGAAAUAUAAUGGUUUUUCUCUGUUGUAAUAGUCAUUCAUUACACGGUUUCAAUAAUUCCCAAUUUUAUUGUAGAGUAUCAGAACAUUAACACUUAUCUCAUUUUGUCUUUGCUGGAAUUUUGUCUGGAAUUAGAGCAAGUCUUAAAUUGUUCUUAUGCUUUGUUUUUAUUUCAGUUCCGUGAUCUGUUGUGCGUCUUGGCACAAAUUUGGAGAAAAAAAAAAAAAGGCAAAGGAAGCAUCUUACACAGUGAGAAAAUCCAUUCUUGAUGAGAACCAAUUUCAGUCAAAAUCUGAAGCAUUUUGAAGGUGGCAUACAUUAUCCAUUUUCAACAAUGAACAUCCUAUCCAAAUGAAGCUGGAAAAUCCAGUCAAGCCAGAUGGAUCAUUUUCUAGAAUCGUCAGGGAAAAGGUAGCUAUUAUGGUUCACUGACUAUCCAACGUGCUUUGGCACAUUUAUCAUUUCAGGCUAUUCAGAAUCAUAGUAACCAAAAGCUGGUGAAGUGGCCUGAUCCUGUCAGUUCUUUUUUAUUUACUGCAGUCAGACUUUUUGUAUAAAACUUAGUAGUAUCUCUCCUAAGAAUAAAAUUGCCCUGCUGAAAAAUGGAAGAAUGAAG
This 1143-nucleotide long non-coding RNA is filed under the name Anser cygnoides (Swan goose). RNAcentral describes it as "lncRNA (ENSACDG00005005453.1)". The record is from RNAcentral. Lineage: Eukaryota; Metazoa; Chordata; Aves; Anseriformes; Anatidae.